GAUGAACGCUGGCGGCGUGCCUAAUACAUGCAAGUCGAGCGAACAGACGAGGAUCUUGCUCCGCUGACGUUAGCGGCGGACGGGUGAGUAACACGUGGAUAACCUACCUAUAAGACGGGUAUAACUUCGGGAAACCGGAGCUAAUACCGGAUAAGAUAUUGAACCGCAUGGUUCAAUAGUGAAAGACGGUUUUGCUGUCAGUUAUAGAUGGAUCCGCGCCGCAUCAGCUAGUUGGUAAGGUAACGGCUUACCAAGGCAACGAUGCGUAGCCGGCCUGAGAGGGUGACCGGCCACAGUGGGACUGAGAUACGGCCCAGACUGCUACGGGAGGCAGCAGUGGGGAAUAUUGCACAAUGGGCGGAAUCCGGAUGCAGCAACGCCGCGGGCGGGAUGACGGCCUUCGGGUUGUAAACCGCGUUCGCCUGUGACGAAGCGUGAGUGACGGUAAUGGGUAAAGAAGCACCGGCUAACUACGUG
RNAcentral lists this ribosomal RNA (477 nucleotides) under uncultured bacterium. RNAcentral's name for it is "partial 16S ribosomal RNA". It matches the Rfam family "Bacterial small subunit ribosomal RNA", at positions 28 to 507 of the family's 1533-position model. The record is from RNAcentral.